RNAcentral lists this long non-coding RNA (1711 nucleotides) under Homo sapiens (human). RNAcentral describes it as "HSALNT0128046". Lineage: Eukaryota; Metazoa; Chordata; Mammalia; Primates; Hominidae. The record is from RNAcentral.
UGGGAAUUUCUGCCUAGAUUUCAGCAGAUGUAUGGAAAUGCCUAGAUUCCCAGGCAAAAGUUUGCUGCAGGGGCGGGGCGCUCAUAGAGAACCUCUUCUAGGGCAAUGUGAAAGGAAAUGUGGGGUUGGAUACCCCACGUAGAGUCCCUACUGCAGCACUGCCUAGUGGAGCUGUGAGAAGAGGACUACCGUCCUUCAGAUCCCAGAAUGGUAGAUUCCCCGAUAGCUUGCACUUUGCACCUGGAAAAGCUGCAGACACUCAAAGCCAGCCGUUAAAGCAGCCAGGAGGGAGACUGUACCCUGCAGAGCCACAGGGGCGGAGCUGCCCAAGACCGUGGGAACCCACCUCUUGCAUCAGCGUGACCUGAAUGUGAGACCUGGAGAAAAAGGAGAUAAUUUUGGAGCUUUAAAAUUUGACUGCCCCACUGGAUUUUGGACUUGCAUGGGCCCUGUAACCCCUUUUUUGGGGCCAAUUUCUCCCAUUUGAAAUGGCUGUUGUGUCUAGGAAGUAACUAGCUUGUUUUUGAUUUUACAGGCUCAUAGGUAGAAGGGACUUGCAUCGUCUCAGAGACUUUGGACUUCAGGCUUUUGGGUUAAUGCAGAAAUGAGUUAAGACUUAACGGUGAUUGUUGGGAAGGCAGUACCCCAGGGAGAGGUAAUUGAAUCAUGAGGGCCGGUCUUUCCUGUGCUGUUCUCCUGAUAGUGAAUAAGUCUCGCGAGAUCUGAUGGGUUUAUCAGGGGUUUCCGCUAUUGUUUCGUCCUCAUUUUCUCUUGCUGCUACCAUGGAAGAAGCGACUUUCGCCUCCCGCCGUGAUUCUGAGGCCUUUCCAGCCAUGUCAAACUCAAAAUGUGACUGAAAAACAGAAGCAUUUGGAAUACGUAACAGAAGUCAUUAAAAAGAGUGGAAGUGGUGGACAAGGGGAGAAACAGUUGGUGUUUUCAAGUAAGAGUACCAGAAAGGCAGAAAGGAGAGACCUACUUAAAUAAAGAAGAAGAAAAAAUGUGUUUGAGUAUCUUUUGGAUUAUUGCUAAAUAUUACCUUGUACAUAUUGAGAAUGAGAUUCCACAGUGGCGAUCCAAGAACAACUAUCAUGGAGCAAUAAGCUGGAGAACAAGAGUUUGUGAAAUCCUGGGAGAUGCUGGAGUCUCAAUUAGCCACAGAAAAGAGAUAUUGUUGAAAACCUGAGUAUAGCUAGAGUUGCGUUAGAGUAAUAACUAUCCUUUCUGUACUCUAAAAAGUUUAGAAAAGAAGGUCUGGAUGAGUCAAGUUUAUGCAAAAGUAAGUUAACUAUCUGAAAAUACUUUUUAAAAGAAAACGUACCCGUUCAAAAUAUCCAGUGUACAAUAAUGACAUUAAUAGAUAUUCAAAAUAGCAAGAAGUGUAACACACAACUAUGAGAAAAACCAAUCAGUAGAAACAGAACCAAAAAUUAAGAUGGUAGUAUUGUCAGUCAAGGACUUUAAAAUAUAUAUUUAAAAGAUAUUCAAGAAUUUAAAGGAGCCAGGUGUGAUGAUUCAUUCCUGUAAUCACAGCGGUUUGAAAGGCCAAGGUGGGAGGAUCCACUGAGGCCAGGGUUUCAAGACCAGCCCUGGAAACAUAGUGAGCCUGGUGACAAGUGCCUGCAGUCCCAGAUGUGGGAGGAUCACUUGAGUUAGAGGCUGCAUGCAGCAAACUAUAAACGCACUCUUUCACUACAUGCUGGGCAACAAA